UUCUCUGCCAAGGUCAUUACCUCCAGAUGGAGAGUUACCAGCUCUACCUCUGGCCCUGACCUGGCUCCAGACCCUCGGCUCCACUGCCUGGCGGCCAUCACCACAGCACAUUCCCCAAGUCACUGCAGCGCCGGUGGCCCCAGCUGGACUCUCCUUUCCAACCUCACCUCCUCGACGCUAACUAAUUUCUGGGACUUGAACCCUGCUGUCUUCCAGGAGUCCACGUUGGAAUUCCAUCUUUGACCUUUGAUGAGGCUUCGCUCCCCUCUUCCGAGUGAGAAUAGUGACAAGUGCAGUUUUCUGCUCAUUCAUUCAUUCAUUCAUUCCACACACAGGCAUUGGGAGCCUGCCACAGGCCACACACUUGCAGGGGCUAGGAAUCCCGGCAAUGCAAGCAAAGCAGAAACUGUCAUUCUUGCCAGAAUGAAAUCCUUGCUCUUCUGACGGCAAACAAAUCAUCAGCAUAAAUGACCACAGUGUAUGAUGUGUGAAACCUUGAUGAAGCCUGGGAGAGAAAGGGGUCGGGUAGUACAGGAGGUGCAGCUGCAGACAGGGCAAGCGGGAGCAGAGCUCCAGCAGGAGAGAGUGAGCCAAGAGGCGGCCUGGGGAGAGGGUUCGGGCACUGGGCAGGAGUGGGGAGGGUGGCGACAUGAGUCGUCAUCUCCACGUGCGAGGGAAGGAGACGAGGAGAGAAUGGAACACAGAGGGCCAGGGCCGGGCUGGGGAGCGUGAGUGCCAGCGGUGGUGGACGGUCCUGAAAGCGGUGAGCUUGAGGCAGAGGAACCCAGGAAGGCCAAGGUGAGAGGCAGCCCGGAAAAGAGGCAUGGCCUGAGAGGUGGGCGGGGGGGAACAGGAGAGAAUGGGGUUCCAGGGAGGUGGGGGGAGUUAUUUAUGAAGGAGGAGCCCCCCAGGGUGGCAGUCACUGCUGGUGGGUCAGCAAGAUGGGGCUGGCCGAGGGGUAGGGGGUGGGCAGCAUCGGCGACCUCCACAGGCCAGGUCUGGGUGGGAUUCAUAAACAUAGAACAGGCUCACGGGAGAAGGGGAGGAGGAACAGCUUGGGCACCUGCCUUCUCAUGUCCCUGUCCACUGCCCCUCCACCUGUUUGCCUCUUACAACAGCCUUCUGACUAUACAGUACAUCCCAAGGUCCUGGGGCCCCCACCUGUAUACAUCAGGAGCUCAAACUGUCAUAACCCUGUGUCUGAGGCUUCCCACCCCCCUGCCUCUAAUAACUCAUCUGGGGUGGGGGCUGCCUCAGGGUCUUUCCCAGGUUCCUGCCCUGGAGUCUUUGCCUUUGUCAAGCUGGGAGCAGUGGGUGUGGCCGGGCACAUGGUCCCGGUGCAGCUUGACCCAACCUCUUUUUGAUGGCCAUGGAGUUCCUGCCCAGAGACAACUGUUGUCCAGUGCAGCCAACACAGAGAACACCGGGAUCCAGUGUGUGGGAUCCUGUCUAUCUGGCUUCCUGGACCUAGCAGGUGACUGGAAUGCAGGAGACAUCCAAUCCACAUGGACUGAAUUUUCUUCCAGCAUCUCAGAAGACCGCUCUGUACUCCCCCAAGGGUGCUGGAGCCCACAUGGAGCCCACCGCCCACGGCGUCAGGAGCACCACUCACUCAGUUCUAUGUGGGAUCUCUUGUGCCCACAGAAGGCCAUGAAGAUGGGGCCAGCACUGUGGUAUAGCGGGCGGCAGCAGAGGCCAGCACUGUGGCAUAGCAUCCCAUAUGGGUGUUGGUUUGUACCCCGGCUGCUCUACUACUUAUCCAGCUAA
Oryctolagus cuniculus (rabbit) is the source of this 1767-nucleotide long non-coding RNA. NCBI's taxonomy places the organism in Eukaryota, Metazoa, Chordata, Mammalia, Lagomorpha, Leporidae. The record is from Ensembl.